RNAcentral lists this ribosomal RNA (377 nucleotides) under uncultured bacterium. RNAcentral describes it as "bacterial SSU rRNA". It matches the Rfam family "Bacterial small subunit ribosomal RNA", at positions 790 to 1167 of the family's 1533-position model. The record is from RNAcentral.
GUAGUCCACGCUGUAAACGAUGGAUGCUAGCUGUUGGGGGCACUCCUCCAGUAGCGCAGCUAACGCGUUAAGCAUCCCGCCUGGGGAGUACGGUCGCAAGAUUAAAACUCAAAGGAAUUGACGGGGACCCGCACAAGCGGUGGAGCAUGUGGUUUAAUUCGAGGCAACGCGAAGAACCUUACCAGGCCUUGACAUGUCUAGUAUGAGGACCAGAGAUGGACCUCUUCAGUUUGGCUGGCUAGAACACAGGUGCUGCAUGGCUGUCGUCAGCUCGUGUCGUGAGAUGUUGGGUUAAGUCCCGCAACGAGCGCAACCCUCGUCCUUAAUUGCCAUCAUUUAGUUGGGAACUUUAAGGAAACUGCCAGCGUCAAGCUGGA